UCUCGGAUUGGCUUUGGGAAGCCGGCGACGGCAUCCUAUUGCUGAGAAGCUGAUCAAACUUGGUCAUUUAGAGGAAGUAAAAGUCGUAACAAGGUUUCCGUAGGUGAACCUGCGGAAGGAUCAUUAUUGAAUAAACUUGGUUGGGUUGUUGCUGGCUUUUCGGAGCAUGUGCACGCCUAGCGCCAUUUUUACCACCUGUGCACUUCUUGUAGAUUUGAGACACCUCUCGAGGAAACUCGGUUUGAGGACUGCUGUGCGCAAGCUAAGCUUUCCUUGCGUUUCAGGUCUAUGUUUUUAUAUACCCCAUAAGAAUGUUUUAGAAUGUCAUUAAUGGGCUUCAUUGCCUCUAAAUUAAUACAACUUUCAACAACGGAUCUCUUGGCUCUCGCAUCGAUGAAGAACGCAGCGAAAUGCGAUAAGUAAUGUGAAUUGCAGAAUUCAGUGAAUCAUCGAAUCUUUGAACGCACCUUGCGCUCCUUGGUAUUCCGAGGAGCAUGCCUGUUUGAGUGUCAUUAAAUUCUCAACCUUUUCAGCUUUUGCGAGCUGGAUUGGCUUGGAUGUGGGGGUUUGCGGGCUUCUCAGAAGUCGGCUCCUCUUAAAUACAUUAGCNGAACCUUUGUGGACCAGCUUUGGUGUGAUAAUUAUCUACGCCAUGGUUGUGAAGCAGCUUUAUAUGGGGUUCAGCUUCUAAYCGUCCAUUGACUUGGACAAUUUCUGACAUUUUGACCUCAAAUCAGGUAGGACUACCCGCUGAACUUAAGCAUAUCAAUAAGCGGAGGAAAAGAAACUAACAAGGAUUCCCCUAGUAACUGCGAGUGAAGCGGGAAAAGCUCAAAUUUAAAAUCUGGCGGUCCUUGUGGCUGUCCGAGUUGUAAUCUAGAGAAGUGCUAUCCGCGCUGG
Molecule: ribosomal RNA, 900 nt
Filed under: Clitocybe sp. 1 PA-2015
Lineage: Eukaryota; Fungi; Basidiomycota; Agaricomycetes; Agaricales; Clitocybaceae
Description: eukaryotic LSU rRNA
Source: RNAcentral